AAAAGAAUUACAUCUCAAAACUCGCAGCCCGAUAAAUUUAACAAGGAGGGUACACUGUACACUUCAGAGCGUCAAAUUUAACCAUGAUCAGACUGUCCAGAAAACAUUCUCUCAAUGUCCCCUUCGAAGAACUGAGAGAAACCCGCCUGUUGACUUUUCCUUUCGCCGCUCUUCUGGCUCGCCUCCGACCUCCUUUGCAAUGUGUUCGAGUAUCGUUAGAAUUUCUGAAAAGUCAGGUCGUUGUUUAGGGUCUUGUCG
RNAcentral lists this unclassified non-coding RNA (258 nucleotides) under Hevea brasiliensis (rubber tree). Lineage: Eukaryota; Viridiplantae; Streptophyta; Magnoliopsida; Malpighiales; Euphorbiaceae. The record is from RNAcentral.